RNAcentral lists this ribosomal RNA (318 nucleotides) under Apodemus speciosus (large Japanese field mouse). Its description in RNAcentral is "partial 16S ribosomal RNA". It matches the Rfam family "Bacterial large subunit ribosomal RNA", at positions 2099 to 2589 of the family's 2925-position model. Lineage: Eukaryota; Metazoa; Chordata; Mammalia; Rodentia; Muridae. The record is from RNAcentral.
CUUUAAUUAGAUAGUUUAAUCACUAUAAAAUUUUUCCUAAUGGAACAACCAAAAAUGAUCUAAACUUAUAAUUUCGGUUGGGGUGACCUCGGAGAAUAACAAAUCCUCCGAAUGAUUAUAACUUAGACUUACAAGUCAAAGUAAUAAACCAUAUCUUAUUGACCCAAAUUAUUUUGAGCAACGGACCAAGUUACCCUAGGGAUAACAGCGCAAUCCUAUUUAAGAGUUCAUAUCGACAAUUAGGGUUUACGACCUCGAUGUUGGAUCAGGACAUCCCAAUGGUGCAGAAGCUAUUAAAGGUUCGUUUGUUCAACGAUU